ACGAACGCUGGCGGCGUGCUUAACACCUGCAAGUCGAACGGUGAAGCGCCUUCCUUUUUGGUGGGUGUGGAUGAGUGGCGAACGGGUGAGUAACACGUGAGUAACCUGCCCCCUUCUUCUGGAUAACCGCAUGAAAGUGUGGCUAAUACGGGAUAUUCUGGGUCUGUCGCAUGAUGGGUCUGGGAAAGAUAUUGUUUCGGUGGGGGAUGGGCUCGCGGCCUAUCAGCUUGUUGGUGGGGUGAUGGCCUACCAAGGCGGUGACGGGUAGCCGGCCUGAGAGGGUGGACGGUCACACUGGGACUGAGACACGGCCCAGACUCCUACGGGAGGCAGCAGUGGGGAAUAUUGCACAAUGGGCGCAAGCCUGAUGCAGCGACGCCGCGUGAGGGAUGGAGGCCUGCGGGUUGUGAACCUCUUUCGCCAGUGAAGCAGGCCUGCCUCGUUUGUGGGUGGGUUGACGGUAGCUGGAUAAGAAGCGCCGGCUAACUACGUG
This 493-nucleotide ribosomal RNA is filed under the name uncultured bacterium. RNAcentral describes it as "partial 16S ribosomal RNA". It matches the Rfam family "Bacterial small subunit ribosomal RNA", at positions 29 to 507 of the family's 1533-position model. The record is from RNAcentral.